UAGGGAAUCUUCGGCAAUGGACGCAAGUCUGACCGAGCAACGCCGCGUGAGUGAAGAAGGUUUUAGGAUCGUAAAACUCUGUUGUUAGAGAAGAACAAGGACGUUAGUAACUGAACGUCCCCUGACGGUAUCUAACCAGAAAGCCACGGCUAACUACGUGCCAGCAGCCGCGGUAAUACGUAGGUGGCAAGCGUUGUCCGGAUUUAUUGGGCGUAAAGCGAGCGCAGGCGGUUUCUUAAGUCUGAUGUGAAAGCCCCCGGCUCAACCGGGGAGGGUCAUUGGAAACUGGGAGACUUGAGUGCAGAAGAGGAGAGUGGAAUUCCAUGUGUAGCGGUGAAAUGCGUAGAUAUAUGGAGGAACACCAGUGGCGAAGGCGGCUCUCUGGUCUGUAACUGACGCUGAGGCUCGAAAGCGUGGGGAGCAAACAGG
This 429-nucleotide ribosomal RNA is filed under the name Gemmatimonadota bacterium. RNAcentral's name for it is "Gemmatimonadetes bacterium partial 16S ribosomal RNA". It matches the Rfam family "Bacterial small subunit ribosomal RNA", at positions 355 to 776 of the family's 1533-position model. The record is from RNAcentral. Lineage: Bacteria; Pseudomonadati; Gemmatimonadota.